GACAGAGGGUGCAAACGUUGCUCGGAAUCACUGGGCGUAAAGGGCGUGUAGGCGGGAAGAUAAGUCGGGCGUGAAAUCCCUAGGCUCAACCUAGGAACUGCACUCGAAACUGUUUUUCUUGAGUACCGGAGAGGAAAGCGGAAUUCCUGGUGUAGAGGUGAAAUUCGUAGAUAUCAGGAGGAACACCAGUGGCGAAGGCGGCUUUCUGGACGGUAACUGACGCUGAGACGCGAAAGCGUGGGGAGCAAACAGG
RNAcentral lists this ribosomal RNA (253 nucleotides) under uncultured bacterium. RNAcentral's name for it is "partial 16S ribosomal RNA". It matches the Rfam family "Bacterial small subunit ribosomal RNA", at positions 524 to 776 of the family's 1533-position model. The record is from RNAcentral.